UAGCCAACCAAGUAUUAAAGGCAACGCCUGCCCAGUGAAAAUUAAACGGCCGCGGUACCCUAACCGUGCAAAGGUAGCAUAAUCAUUUGUCUAUUAAUUGUAGACCUGUAUGAAAGGCAAAAUGAGAGCCCAACUGUCUCUUAUAACAAAUCAAUUAAACUGAUCUUCUAGUACAAAAGCUAGAAUACUAACAUAAGACCAGAAGACCCUGUGAAGCUUUAACUAACCUAUUAAGCCUAAUAAUAGCCACUUUAGGUUGGGGCGACCUUGGAAUAAAAAAGAACUUCCAAUCUAUGACUUCCUCAUAAACAAGGCGAACAAGCCACACCAGACCCAGUAUAACUGACAAUUGAAAUAAGUUACUCCAGGGAUAACAGCGCUAUCUUCUUUAAGAGCCCAUAUCAAAAAGAAGGUUUACGACCUCGAUGUUGGAUCAGGACACCCCAGUAAUGCAACCGUUACUAAAGGUUCGUUUGUUCAACGAUUAACAGUCCUACGUGAUCUGAGUUCAGACCGGAGCAAUCCAG
RNAcentral lists this ribosomal RNA (527 nucleotides) under Bothrops bilineatus (green jararaca). RNAcentral describes it as "partial 16S large subunit ribosomal RNA". It matches the Rfam family "Bacterial large subunit ribosomal RNA", at positions 1832 to 2629 of the family's 2925-position model. Lineage: Eukaryota; Metazoa; Chordata; Lepidosauria; Squamata; Viperidae. The record is from RNAcentral.